AGUUAACUGUAAGUGCUGUAUUUUAAUAAUCUGUCAAAAAAUCAAAAUCAUCAGGAUAAUAUUAGGUAUUGAUUUUCAAACAAGAAUUAGAUUACAGCGAUGGUCAAAAGCAUUUAGAUAUUGCUUUGAAAUCUACAGAUAAGGUAUGGCAGUUUCGUUUUAAAGAACAAGAUGUUAAAGUUUAUGAUAAAAUUGUCAUCAGAAAUACUGUCCACUUGCAGUAUUUACAUAGGAAAAUGUUGGAGGAUGAAGCUCUACCUACUGCCUCAGGUUAAUUUAAAUUCUUUAAGAGUUGCAACAACAGCAACAAGCAAGAAGGGCACCAUUAAAUGAAUAUUAUACACAUAAAGCAACAACAGAAUAAAAAACCAAAAUAUGAACACCAGCAACUAAAACAGGAACCAUUAAAUGAAUAUUAUAUACAGCAAUAACAGCAUCAAAUAAUGGAAAUAAUGGACCUUAUUGCACAAAUCAAAAACAAAAUUUCAGCAUUACUACUUUAUUGGUUAUAUCAAUAAAAGAAAUUGAGUUUAUCAGUCUAGAUCCUACAAGCAAGCAGAUCUAUCACAUAAUUUUAAAUGAAGAUUUAUCUAUUAUAGUAAUUUAUUCUAAUAA
This is a long non-coding RNA of Sitophilus oryzae (rice weevil), 615 nucleotides long. RefSeq lists it as uncharacterized. The transcript is spliced from 4 exons. Lineage: Eukaryota; Metazoa; Arthropoda; Insecta; Coleoptera; Curculionidae. The record is from RefSeq and is a predicted model, not a curated record.